UAAUUUCCGAUGAUUUAGAAAGUAGACUUUAAGUAACCUCAGAGAAACGCUGGUUGGUGAAAAGCGUUGAUUAUAAGAAGUUGAAAAUGGCUAAGGAGGAACUUUUGAUAAUAAAUAAACAAAAGCGGUAUUAUCUAUCGUUAAAAGGAUAUUCGGCAUAGAAGUUUGAAUGUUGAAAGUAAGGUAAAAAAAGGUGGUACCGCGUUGAAUCGCCCUUUUG
Molecule: non-coding RNA, 220 nt
Filed under: Tetragenococcus muriaticus
Lineage: Bacteria; Bacillati; Bacillota; Bacilli; Lactobacillales; Enterococcaceae
Description: T-box sequence
Rfam family: T-box leader
About the family: Uncharged tRNA acts as the effector for transcription antitermination of genes in the T-box leader family. T-boxes are found upstream of many aminoacyl-tRNA synthetase genes and some amino acid biosynthetic genes usually in Gram-positive bacteria.
Source: RNAcentral